Molecule: transfer RNA, 71 nt
Filed under: Loxodonta africana (African savanna elephant)
Lineage: Eukaryota; Metazoa; Chordata; Mammalia; Proboscidea; Elephantidae
Rfam family: tRNA
About the family: Transfer RNA (tRNA) molecules are approximately 80 nucleotides in length. Their secondary structure includes four short double-helical elements and three loops (D, anti-codon, and T loops). Further hydrogen bonds mediate the characteristic L-shaped molecular structure. tRNAs have two regions of fundamental functional importance: the anti-codon, which is responsible for specific mRNA codon recognition, and the 3' end, to which the tRNAs corresponding amino acid is attached (by aminoacyl-tRNA synthetases). tRNAs cope with the degeneracy of the genetic code in two manners: having more than one tRNA (with a specific anti-codon) for a particular amino acid; and 'wobble' base-pairing, i.e. permitting non-standard base-pairing at the 3rd anti-codon position.
Source: Rfam by way of RNAcentral
GCCCUGGUGGCACAACAAUUAAGCACUUGGCUGCUAACCAAAGGCUGCUGGUUCAAACCCACCCCGUGGCU